AGAGACCUUAGCACCAGUAAGUGGAUGCAUGUGAUGCAAGACAGUAAGACAAAUAAUGAAGGACCCUUGCGAAAUAAAUUCAACCUGAAGCUGAUCAAGCCUCUAGAUCAAGCCUACCAGUUGAUAUGAAAUACAAGAGACAGAGGAAACCGUUAACCACCACCAAGGCGCUAUAAGCCAAAUCUAGAAGUGGAAUUUUCCACAGAAACACUCAGUUUCUCUAAUAACUAACAGCACAAGGAAAGGGAUUACUACUGACUGAAAAAGACUCAAGAGAGAGAAUAACCAAUGGCAAUGUGUACUUUUUACUGGAUCCCAUAUUAGUGCUCUGAGACUGCUCUAACUACCAAAGAUUUGAUGGAUGAUUAAACAGCAGAAAUUGAUUCUCUCAGUUUUGGAGCCAGAAGUCUGAAGUGAAGGUGUCAUCAGGGCCAGGUUCCCUCUGAAGGCUCUUCCCGCUGUGGUGGCUCCAGGCUUCCUAGGCUUGCAGGAGCACCACUCCAGUCUCUGUUCUGUAGUGUUACUGUUUCUUCUUUUAAAAAAAAAACAAAAAAACACUCCAAACACAAGUUUAUAAAUUAGAAAACAACAUAGCCUGUCCAGCCAACCAUUAAGUCUCAGGUAUCUUUUUCUAGAUUUUGUUUACACCUAAAAAUAGGUAUAAAAAUGAACACCGCCAAGGCCCAUUUCAAUGCCUCCCUUAUUCAUCUCAAAACUGCCUACUUCUUUCCUAUAAGGCAAGUGAUUGCACUUAGGGUCUAUUCAGACAAUCCAGGAUAAACUCUUUUUCUCAAGAUCUUUAAUCACAUCUUUUGCUACAGAAGGUAAUAUUCACAGGUUCCCAGAAUAAGGAUGUGGACAAAUGUUUUGGGAAGGUCACAUUCAUCCAACUAUAUGUCCUGAUUAGAAGAAUAUAAUGAAACAGUUUUAAUCAUCAGGGAAACUUGAAUAUGAACUAUUAAUGCUAUUAGCAAAUUCUUACUAAUUUUGUUAGAUGUGAAAAUUACAAAGGUUUUUUUUAAGUUAUUAUAUGUUAGGGAGACAUCAGUAUUUUGGUAGAAAGACAUGUUUGCUUUAAAGACCCUCCCCCUUCCAUGGGAAAAAAAAAAGUAAAUCAAGAUUAGCCACACAUUUUAUUAACUGCUGAAAAGUGGUGAUGAUUGUGUCUUAAAAUUUUCAUAAUAAAUUUUUUUUUGUAAACCAGUUGAAAAAAGAUAAAAUUGUCCACUAAAAUGAGACAUGAAAUCCCUCAGAAUGAACUUAGCCAGACCUACACAAUAAAAAAUAUUACAAAAUUAAAAUCAAUGCAGAUACAAGUUAUCAGCCUAUGCUAGAAAAAAAGUCAAAAUACCAAUGGGUAAUUUUUAUCUCUGAUUUUUUAAAAAAUAUAUGCAAUUUUAAUUUAGAAUUCAAAGAAUUUCUCUUUAGAGAAUAAUCAAAACACUGCAAGAUGGUAUAUCUAACAAUACCAAUUAAAUAGAUUAUGUUAUAACCAUUUACUGGAACACUACACAGCAACUAUGGAAAGGGGGUUAUAUAGCCACGUAUAUAGUAUGAUUCCGUAUUUGUUAACAACCAAAAAAAAUCUACUUGCACAAGCGUGUUCAACACACAUUUAUUCAUACAAACAUGAAGGAGUAUAUACCAAAUGUUAUAUACACCAGAUGUUAAGAGUUACUCACUCUGGGUGGUGAGUUUGCAGAACUCUUAUUCUUUACCUUUUAUCAGCAGCUUAUUUUUCUACUAUGAACACCUAUGACAGAUAAAGAAAACUGUAAGUGGUACCACAGACUAUGAUCACCACAUGCCCUUAAGGAAGCACACACAAACUUGGGUGCUUGGUAGGGGCAUGGGGCUGGGGGGUGCAAUGGGGAGAUGGGGUACUGGGUGCACAUCUGAAGCAUGUGAUUCCAAGAACUCUACGUCGCUUCUCUGGCAGUUGCCAAACUGUAUUCCACAAGAGAGUUCCACAAGUGUCACACAGAGAAGGAUCAAUGUCUAAGUUUUCAGACACACUAGGUUAAGAUCUUACUUUGUUACAUUUGCUCUGCAUCCCCAGGAGAAAAAGAUAUGGCACACUCAUUCACUGAGCCAUAGAACCUUUGUUUAACAACCUACAUAGACUCAAUAGGACGUCUACUGAAAAGUAUUUUAUGAAUUCCAAUGUAAAAACUUGGACGAACAAGGAUUGCUUACACCACAUAUUUCCACUGAGAGUCUGAAAACUAGCCUGUUUCCCUAGAUUUAGAUGGAUUCAUCUCAAAACUACCCCAUAUUUUUCGUAUUUUUUGUGGUCUCAAGCUUUAUAGUUUUAAAUAUAAUUUGCAUCUUGCUGUCAGUUCAUUUUACAGCAGUGUUUUUCAAACUGGAUUUCUAUUCACUAAUGGAUUGAGAAAUCAAUGUGAUAGAUACAACCCACAUUAAAAAAAGUUUUGUUUUUUUUUAAUUUUUAAAGAAAACUAUCAGGGACUUCCCUGGUUGUCUACUGGUCAAGAAUCUGACUGCUAAUGUAGGGGACAUGCGUUGGACCCCUGGUCCAGGAAGAUCCCUCACUGUGGAGCCCACGUGACAACUACUGAAGCCCACAUGCCUUAGAGCCUAUGCUCUACAAGAGAAGCCACCACAAUGAGAAGCCCGUGCGCGACAGCUCGAGAGUAGUCCCCACUUGCUGCAACUUAUGCACAGCAACAAAGACCCAGUGCAGCAAAAAAUAAAUUAACAAACUAAUAAAAAAGAAAACUAUCAUGUAGUAAAGAUAAUAUUUUUUAUAAAACUUUUGUGUCCAUAUAUAACCACACAAAAUAUAUGCAUGUGUGUAUUGGUCACAAUAUAAAAUACAUUUAUUGCUAUGGGUUGCAAUCAAAAUAUUUUGAAACUCACUGAAUUAAUGAGAUGAACUUAUUGAUAAACAGAUAAAGUCAGAACAUAUUUCAAACACCCAAACCCUUCUUGUAUAUAUUAGGUAAAUUUUUAAAAAAUCAAAGCAAUACUGCCACAUAGAUCCCCAACUUACAAACAAGUACCAAAAAUCCGUUUGAAUACUGGGUACCUAGAGCUUUUCUUCAGAGAAGGCAAUGGCGCCCCACUCCAGUACUUUUGCCUAGAAAAUCCCAUGGAC
Molecule: long non-coding RNA, 3118 nt
Filed under: Bos taurus (domestic cattle)
Lineage: Eukaryota; Metazoa; Chordata; Mammalia; Artiodactyla; Bovidae
Description: long non-coding RNA NONBTAT027136
Source: RNAcentral